This 2902-nucleotide ribosomal RNA is filed under the name Escherichia coli UMEA 3041-1. RNAcentral's name for it is "bacterial LSU rRNA". It matches the Rfam family "Bacterial large subunit ribosomal RNA". Lineage: Bacteria; Pseudomonadati; Pseudomonadota; Gammaproteobacteria; Enterobacterales; Enterobacteriaceae. The record is from RNAcentral.
UUAAGCGACUAAGCGUACACGGUGGAUGCCCUGGCAGUCAGAGGCGAUGAAGGACGUGCUAAUCUGCGAUAAGCGUCGGUGAGGUGAUAUGAACCGUUAUAACCGGCGAUUUCCGAAUGGGGAAACCCAGUGUGUUUCGACACACUAUCAUUAACUGAAUCCAUAGGUUAAUGAGGCGAACCGGGGGAACUGAAACAUCUAAGUACCCCGAGGAAAAGAAAUCAACCGAGAUUCCCCCAGUAGCGGCGAGCGAACGGGGAGGAGCCCAGAGCCUGAAUCAGUGUGUGUGUUAGUGGAAGCGUCUGGAAAGGCGCGCGAUACAGGGUGACAGCCCCGUACACAAAAAUGCACAUAUUGUGAGCUCGAUGAGUAGGGCGGGACACGUGGUAUCCUGUCUGAAUAUGGGGGGACCAUCCUCCAAGGCUAAAUACUCCUGACUGACCGAUAGUGAACCAGUACCGUGAGGGAAAGGCGAAAAGAACCCCGGCGAGGGGAGUGAAAAAGAACCUGAAACCGUGUACGUACAAGCAGUGGGAGCCUCUUUAUGGGGUGACUGCGUACCUUUUGUAUAAUGGGUCAGCGACUUAUAUUCUGUAGCAAGGUUAACCGAAUAGGGGAGCCGAAGGGAAACCGAGUCUUAACUGGGCGUUAAGUUGCAGGGUAUAGACCCGAAACCCGGUGAUCUAGCCAUGGGCAGGUUGAAGGUUGGGUAACACUAACUGGAGGACCGAACCGACUAAUGUUGAAAAAUUAGCGGAUGACUUGUGGCUGGGGGUGAAAGGCCAAUCAAACCGGGAGAUAGCUGGUUCUCCCCGAAAGCUAUUUAGGUAGCGCCUCGUGAAUUCAUCUCCGGGGGUAGAGCACUGUUUCGGCAAGGGGGUCAUCCCGACUUACCAACCCGAUGCAAACUGCGAAUACCGGAGAAUGUUAUCACGGGAGACACACGGCGGGUGCUAACGUCCGUCGUGAAGAGGGAAACAACCCAGACCGCCAGCUAAGGUCCCAAAGUCAUGGUUAAGUGGGAAACGAUGUGGGAAGGCCCAGACAGCCAGGAUGUUGGCUUAGAAGCAGCCAUCAUUUAAAGAAAGCGUAAUAGCUCACUGGUCGAGUCGGCCUGCGCGGAAGAUGUAACGGGGCUAAACCAUGCACCGAAGCUGCGGCAGCGACACUAUGUGUUGUUGGGUAGGGGAGCGUUCUGUAAGCCUGUGAAGGUGGCCUGUGAGGGUUGCUGGAGGUAUCAGAAGUGCGAAUGCUGACAUAAGUAACGAUAAAGCGGGUGAAAAGCCCGCUCGCCGGAAGACCAAGGGUUCCUGUCCAACGUUAAUCGGGGCAGGGUGAGUCGACCCCUAAGGCGAGGCCGAAAGGCGUAGUCGAUGGGAAACAGGUUAAUAUUCCUGUACUUGGUGUUACUGCGAAGGGGGGACGGAGAAGGCUAUGUUGGCCGGGCGACGGUUGUCUCGGUUUAAGCGUGUAGGCUGGUUUUCCAGGCAAAUCCGGAAAACCAAGGCUGAGGCGUGAUGACGAGGCACUACGGUGCUGAAGCGACAAAUGCCCUGCUUCCAGGAAAAGCCUCUAAGCAUCAGGUAACAUCAAAUCGUACCCCAAACCGACACAGGUGGUCAGGUAGAGAAUACCAAGGCGCUUGAGAGAACUCGGGUGAAGGAACUAGGCAAAAUGGUGCCGUAACUUCGGGAGAAGGCACGCUGAUAUGUAGGUGAAGCGACUUGCUCGUGGAGCUGAAAUCAGUCGAAGAUACCAGCUGGCUGCAACUGUUUAUUAAAAACACAGCACUGUGCAAACACGAAAGUGGACGUAUACGGUGUGACGCCUGCCCGGUGCCGGAAGGUUAAUUGAUGGGGUUAGCGGUAACGCGAAGCUCUUGAUCGAAGCCCCGGUAAACGGCGGCCGUAACUAUAACGGUCCUAAGGUAGCGAAAUUCCUUGUCGGGUAAGUUCCGACCUGCACGAAUGGCGUAAUGAUGGCCAGGCUGUCUCCACCCGAGACUCAGUGAAAUUGAACUCGCUGUGAAGAUGCAGUGUACCCGCGGCAAGACGGAAAGACCCCGUGAACCUUUACUAUAGCUUGACACUGAACAUUGAGCCUUGAUGUGUAGGAUAGGUGGGAGGCUUUGAAGUGUGGACGCCAGUCUGCAUGGAGCCGACCUUGAAAUACCACCCUUUAAUGUUUGAUGUUCUAACGUUGGCCCGUAAUCCGGGUUGCGGACAGUGUCUGGUGGGUAGUUUGACUGGGGCGGUCUCCUCCUAAAGAGUAACGGAGGAGCACGAAGGUUGGCUAAUCCUGGUCGGACAUCAGGAGGUUAGUGCAAUGGCAUAAGCCAGCUUGACUGCGAGCGUGACGGCGCGAGCAGGUGCGAAAGCAGGUCAUAGUGAUCCGGUGGUUCUGAAUGGAAGGGCCAUCGCUCAACGGAUAAAAGGUACUCCGGGGAUAACAGGCUGAUACCGCCCAAGAGUUCAUAUCGACGGCGGUGUUUGGCACCUCGAUGUCGGCUCAUCACAUCCUGGGGCUGAAGUAGGUCCCAAGGGUAUGGCUGUUCGCCAUUUAAAGUGGUACGCGAGCUGGGUUUAGAACGUCGUGAGACAGUUCGGUCCCUAUCUGCCGUGGGCGCUGGAGAACUGAGGGGGGCUGCUCCUAGUACGAGAGGACCGGAGUGGACGCAUCACUGGUGUUCGGGUUGUCAUGCCAAUGGCACUGCCCGGUAGCUAAAUGCGGAAGAGAUAAGUGCUGAAAGCAUCUAAGCACGAAACUUGCCCCGAGAUGAGUUCUCCCUGAGACUUAGAGUCUCCUGAAGGAACGUUGAAGACGACGACGUUGAUAGGCCGGGUGUGUAAGCGCAGCGAUGCGUUGAGCUAACCGGUACUAAUGAACCGUGAGGCUUAACCUU